GUCCAAGUAAUUUAACUAAAAUAUUGGCCUUGUAAGCCAGCUAUGAAGGUAAAGCCCUUCCUAGGACC
Molecule: transfer RNA, 68 nt
Filed under: Dasycercus cristicauda (Crest-tailed Mulgara)
Lineage: Eukaryota; Metazoa; Chordata; Mammalia; Dasyuromorphia; Dasyuridae
Description: tRNA-Thr
Rfam family: tRNA
About the family: Transfer RNA (tRNA) molecules are approximately 80 nucleotides in length. Their secondary structure includes four short double-helical elements and three loops (D, anti-codon, and T loops).
Source: RNAcentral